RNAcentral lists this ribosomal RNA (608 nucleotides) under bacterium RHINE1. RNAcentral's name for it is "partial 16S ribosomal RNA". It matches the Rfam family "Bacterial small subunit ribosomal RNA", at positions 98 to 695 of the family's 1533-position model. The record is from RNAcentral.
ACUAACGGGUGAGUAAUACAUUCGGGAACGUGCCCNGUGCGUGNGGCGAUAACGUAGCGAAAGCUACGCUAUAUACCGCAUACGUACGCUGANGUGUGAAAGCGGGGGAUCUNCAAGGACCUCACGCGAUUGGAGCGGCCGAUGGCAGAUUAGGUAGUUGGUGGGGUAAAGGCCUACCAAGCCUGCNAUCUGUAGCUGGUCUGAGAGGACGACCAGCCACACUGGGACUGAGACACGGCCCAGAACUCCUACGGGAGGCANCANUGGGGAAUUUUGGACAAUGGGCGCAAGCCUGAUCCAGCCAUACCGCGUGCGGGAAGAAGGCCUUCCGGUUGUAAACCGCUUUUGUCAGGGAAGAAAUCUUCUGGGCUAAUACCUNNGGAGGAUGACGGUACCUGAAGAAUAAGCACCGGCUAACUACGUGCCAGCAUCCGCGGUAAUACGUAGGGUGCAAGCGUUAAUCGGAAUUACUGGGCNUAAAGCNGUGCNCAGGCGGUUCCAUAAGACAGAUGUGAAAUCCCNGGGCUCAACCUGGGAACUGNUUUGUGACUGUGGGGCUANAGUCGGUNAAGGNGAUGGAAUUCCCGUGUACCGGUAAAUGCNUAAAU